CCGCGGUAAUACGAAGGGGGCUAGCGUUGUUCGGAAUUACUGGGCGUAAAGCGCGCGCAGGCGGUUUUGUAAGUUGGGGGUGAAAUCCCCGGGCUCAGCCCGGGAAUGGCCUUCAAGACUGCAAGGCUCGAGGACGAGAGAGGUGAGUGGAAUUCCCAGUGUGGAGGUGAAAUUCGUAGAUAUUGGGAAGAACACCGGUGGCGAAGGCGGCUCACUGGCUCGUUUCUGACGCUGAGGCGCGAAAGCGUGG
Molecule: ribosomal RNA, 250 nt
Filed under: uncultured bacterium
Lineage: Bacteria
Description: partial 16S ribosomal RNA
Rfam family: Bacterial small subunit ribosomal RNA
Source: RNAcentral